CGAACGCUGGCGGCGUGCUUAACACAUGCAAGUCGAGGAGAACGGGAUUCUUCGGAUUCCCUAGUAAACUGGCGGAUGGGUGAGUAACGCGUAGGCAACCUGCCUUACAGAAGGGGAUAACAUCGGGAAACUGGUGCUAAUACCCUAUAUUAUCUUUCUAUCGCAUGAUAGGUUGAUGAAAAGGGCUACUUUGUAGUACCGCUGUAAGAGGGGCCUGCGUCCUUUUAGCUUGUUGGUAGGGUAACGGCCUACCAAGGCGACGAUGGGUAGCUGGUCUGAGAGGAUGAUCAGCCACACUGGCACUGAGACACGGGCCAGACUCCUACGGGAGGCAGCAGUGAGGAAUAUUGGGCAAUGGGCGCAAGCCUGACCCAGCAACGCCGCGUGAGUGAUGAAGCUCCGAGGAGUGUAAAGCUCUGUUAGGAGGGAAGAAAUUUCCGGCUUAGUCGGAAUUGACGGUACCUCCAGAGAAAGCUCCGGCUAACUCCGUGCCAGCAGCCGCGGUAACACGGGGGGAGCAAGCGUUGUCCGGAUUUACUGGGCGUAAAGAGCGUGUAGGCGGGAUAAUUAGUCAGUGGUGAAAUCUUGCGGCUUAACCGUAAGCCUGCUACUGAUACUGUUAUCCUUGAGUGUGGAAGAGGGAAGUGGAAUUCCUGGUGUAGCGGUGAAAUGCGUAGAUAUCAGGAAGAACACCAGUAGCGAAGGCGGCUUCCUGGUCCACUACUGACGCUGAGACGCGAAAGCGUGGGGAGCAAACAGGAUUAGA
Molecule: ribosomal RNA, 766 nt
Filed under: uncultured bacterium
Lineage: Bacteria
Description: bacterial SSU rRNA
Rfam family: Bacterial small subunit ribosomal RNA
Source: RNAcentral